This 301-nucleotide ribosomal RNA is filed under the name uncultured bacterium. Its description in RNAcentral is "partial 16S ribosomal RNA". It matches the Rfam family "Bacterial small subunit ribosomal RNA", at positions 509 to 809 of the family's 1533-position model. The record is from RNAcentral.
CAGUCGCCGCGGUAAUACGGAGGGUGCAAGCGUUAUCCGGAUUCACUGGGUUUAAAGGGUGCGUAGGUGGGCAGGUAAGUCAGUGGUGAAAUCUCCGGGCUUAACCCGGAAACUGCCGUUGAUACUAUCUGUCUUGAAUAUAGUGGAGGUGAGCGGAAUAUGUCAUGUAGCGGUGAAAUGCUUAGAUAUGACAUAGAACACCAAUUGCGAAGGCAGCUCGCUACACUAUCAUUGACACUGAGGCACGAAAGCGUGGGGAUCAAACAGGAUUAGAUACCCCCGUAGUCCCUGUCUCUUAUAA